Molecule: ribosomal RNA, 297 nt
Filed under: uncultured bacterium
Lineage: Bacteria
Description: partial 16S ribosomal RNA
Rfam family: Bacterial small subunit ribosomal RNA
Source: RNAcentral
UCCUGGCCUUAAACGAUGUCCACUAGGUCGAUGUUUCUCUGACGGAAUGUCGGCCGAAAUAAAAACGUUAAGUGGACCGCCUGGGGAGUACGGUCGCAAGGCUAAAACUCAAAGGAAUUGACGGGUGCUCACACAAGCGGUGGAGCAUGUUGCUUAAUUCGAUGCAACGCGAAGAACCUUAUCCUGGGCUUGACAUGUGCGGAUGCCUACUGGGAAACCAGAUCGGCUGCCCUUCGGGGUGAAACGUACACAGGUGCUGCAUGGCUGUCGUCAGCUCGUGUCGUGAGAUGUUGGGUU